GAUGAACGCUGGCGGCGUGCCUAAUACAUGCAAGUCGAGCGAACAGACGAGGAGCUUGCUCCUCUGACGUUAGCGGCGGACGGGUGAGUAACACGUGGAUAACCUACCUAUAAGACUGGGAUAACUUCGGGAAACCGGAGCUAAUACCGGAUAAUAUAUAGAACCGCAUGGUUCAAUAGUGAAAGACGGUUUUGCUGUCACUUAUAGAUGGAUCCGCGCCGCAUUAGCUAGUUGGUAAGGUAACGGCUUACCAAGGCGACGAUGCGUAGCCGACCUGAGAGGGUGAUCGGCCACACUGGAACUGAGACACGGUCCAGACUCCUACGGGAGGCAGCAGUAGGGAAUCUUCCGCAAAGGGCGAAAGCCUGACGGAGCAACGCCGCGUGAGUGAUGAAGGUCUUCGGAUCGUAAAACUCUGUUAUUAGGGAAGAACAAAUGUGUAAGUAACUAUACACGUCUUGACGGUACCUAAUCAGAAAGCCACGGCUAACUACGUG
Molecule: ribosomal RNA, 497 nt
Filed under: uncultured bacterium
Lineage: Bacteria
Description: partial 16S ribosomal RNA
Rfam family: Bacterial small subunit ribosomal RNA
Source: RNAcentral